RNAcentral lists this ribosomal RNA (305 nucleotides) under Escherichia coli. RNAcentral describes it as "partial 16S ribosomal RNA". It matches the Rfam family "Bacterial small subunit ribosomal RNA", at positions 1 to 302 of the family's 1533-position model. Lineage: Bacteria; Pseudomonadati; Pseudomonadota; Gammaproteobacteria; Enterobacterales; Enterobacteriaceae. The record is from RNAcentral.
AAAUUGAAGAGUUUGAUCAUGGCUCAGAUUGAACGCUGGCGGCAGGCCUAACACAUGCAAGUCGAACGGUAACAGGAAGCAGCUUGCUGCUUUGCUGACGAGUGGCGGACGGGUGAGUAAUGUCUGGGAAACUGCCCGAUGGAGGGGGAUAACUACUGGAAACGGUAGCUAAUACCGCAUAACGUCGCAAGACCAAAGAGGGGGACCUUAGGGCCUCUUGCCAUCGGAUGUGCCCAGAUGGGAUUAGCUAGUAGGUGGGGUAACGGCUCACCUAGGCGACGAUCCCUAGCUGGUCUGAGAGGAUG